GCGGCCGAAGGCGAGCGCAGUGACUGGGGCGAAGUCGUAACAAGGUAGCCGUAGGGGAACCUGCGGCUGGAUCACCUCCUUACGAGACGACGAGUAAGCGAACGACGGCCGGCGCAAGUCGGUCCGAGCGCGCGGAAAGUCCUCGAAGUCGCACGCCUCGACAUCAGAUUCAUCCCGAUCGAUAUCAGCUCUGCGCGCUCCGGCGCGCCGGGCGGUUUUUUUUCGCCGCUCGUUGCUGUUUGACUACGGAAGGGGGG
This 257-nucleotide unclassified non-coding RNA is filed under the name uncultured bacterium. Its description in RNAcentral is "partial contains 16S ribosomal RNA, 16S-23S ribosomal RNA intergenic spacer, and 23S ribosomal RNA". The stretch from base 1 to 82 matches the Rfam family "Bacterial small subunit ribosomal RNA", at positions 1452 to 1533 of the family's 1533-position model. The record is from RNAcentral.